This is a long non-coding RNA of Callorhinchus milii (elephant shark), 1346 nucleotides long. RefSeq lists it as uncharacterized. The transcript has 5 exons. The record is from RefSeq and is a predicted model, not a curated record. NCBI's taxonomy places the organism in Eukaryota, Metazoa, Chordata, Chondrichthyes, Chimaeriformes, Callorhinchidae.
ACAGAGGCUGUCGGCUGCAGCAGGAGAAUGGGAAGCCUGGACCUCCCCUAGUGAAAUAAUCAAGACAGCCUGCAGAAGGAAAGCCUGGAGAUCAUCAUUGGAAUGAGCCUAAAGAUGGUAUAAGAGGUGUUCCUGCAACCAGGAAUCUGGAGAGGAACAGGUAAACAAAGGCGUGUGGAGUAAGGAAAUUUGCCUAACAUUUUGCCCUGCCUGGGAAUUGAAGCUGGGUCCUCUCACUUGCGAGGAGUCUCACUCUUUUUCUUUCUCACACAUAUAUUGGAUGUCCUGUGAGUCAGACUAAUGAGCACAUACAGUAGGCGAAGGCAUUCGUUGGAAUCUAGAAGUUUUGAUUUUUCAAGAUUUGUGGAGUCCUGAAGCAUAUUGAUCAGAGCACUCGUAUCGCAAACAAAAGACCUAGGUUUGAUUCUCGAGCAGGGCGUAAAGUUAGGAGAGAUACCAGGAAGGUUUCUUUACACAGAGGAUAAUCAGUGACUGGAACAGAUUGUCAGGAAAAGUAGUACAAUCCAAGACACUGGACUAAUUUCAAAAGCAACUUAAUGCGUGAUUGGGAGGAACGACAGAAGGAGAGGUGUUCUGGAGGGAUAGAUCUGAUGGGCUGAAGGGCUUUCUUCAUCCAGAUUAAUCUUGUGAUCUUGUGUUGUGUUUCUCUUGUUGGGGCUCUCAUUCCCAAUACUCUUUUUUUCAAGAGCAAACUUUCAACAAGACUGCUUGUGUCAUGAAACACCAAUGCUCUCAAUCUCAGCAGUACACCCAUAAUCCGUGAUCUCUAUAACAGUAGCUGUCCAGAGGCACACACCUCAUCUCCUUCUAUUUGUAGGUCAUGUGGUGUGAACCAGGAAGUGUACAUCAGCAUCCUGCCUUCAUAUCACUCUUCUCCUUGAAGUGAAGCCGCUUCGCUGCCAGCAAUACAAAGACUGCAUGAGCCCAGUAACUGUUGACUUUGUUGGAAUACCACAGGCUGCAACUAGAACAUGGCGUAUAAAUAACACAGCUAUUGUAACUUAUUGUAAUUGCUGUGCGCAAUUGGCUGCCGCGUUCGCCCACAAAUAUACAGUCAAUUCACUUUACAGUGUGUUCUGUGAAGCGCUUUGGGACGUCCUCCCGACGUGAAAAGCGCUAUAUCAAAUGCAAGGAUUAUUAUUAUUAUUAUUACUUCAUGCUCGGUUUGUUUUAAGAAAGCAUGACCUUGGUGCGGUUCUGCUUCAUUAAAAGUCAGUUAUUGCAAAAAUACUGAUCCUUUGCACACUCUCUUUUUCGGCAGCCCUGAAGUUAGCUGUGCUGUAUUUCAAUCUCCAAACCAAAAUAAAAGCAAAUAUUACCACUGC